ACCAAAUCAUACCCUCUGCUUCUCUACUCUCUCUUGCUCACUCUCUUCUCGACGGUGCGCACCUCCAUCGUUAGGGUUCCUCUUCAUCGCUCAUACCUCCAUCGUUAGGGUUCCUCUCCACCGUGCUUCCAUCAUCAAACCACACCUUCCUUCUGCUCUGCUUCGUUUUCACCUCACCGUGCUUCAAUCAAUCAAACCACACCUUCCUUCUGCUGCUUCGUCUUCACCAUCGCUUCCAUCACUCAAGCUCGUGUGGGUUCUGCUUCUUCUUCACCGAGCCCGUCCGCUCCAGCGCGACUGCAUCCCACGGCGCGCCGCACCUUCCACUGCCAUUAUCAAGGAUGGUUUGGUCACGUUUUUAUGGGUGUUCCAAAGUUUCUUCAAACUGGCAGUAUUGGGUUUGAUUCCUAUUGGGUUAAUGCAGUACGGGGACACUUCCCUUUGGAAGUAGAGGCAUAAUGACCAUGGGAUUGUCUUUCAUAUAAGGUGCUGGAUAUUCAUUAAUUCACUGCUGAAAUUGACUCCCAAGUAACUUUCCAAAGGUGAAUGGAGGAAAGAAAUAGAAUCUGUUGUCGGCAAGUAAUAUAAGAAGGAAAGAUAGAGAGAGGGCAAGUGAUAUAAAGGGUGCAUAUGUGCGUGAAAUGGAAGAUAGGACGCAAAGAGCAUCUGAGCAAAAUCUUCCUCCGCCAAAUGAGUUAGAUGUGUGGCGUGAUGUGGCUGGCAUGAAAAAGGGUAGAAUAUAUGGGUUGGGAUUGGAGUCCACUGUUAUCAAUAAACAAUAUCAUGGCUCAUGUUCGUCAUCAUCUGAAUGGGUAAGAAGAUCAGAAUUUGAUCAAUUGAGAAACACUAUUAUGGAGGAGACUCAAAGAAUGGUAAAACAAAUGAUGGAAGAAAGGAUGCAACAACCACCAAUGCCAAUCCCAAAUCAAGAGGAGUUAGAAACUGAUGAGUCAGAGAAUGAGGAGGAUCUUGGUGCUUUUCCAUGAAAACUUUGUCAAGCUUUGUUUCUAUAUUUAAUGUAAUAGACUAUGUUUAAUGUAAUAGUAAUCUACUAGACUAGUUUAAGUA
This is a long non-coding RNA of Lotus japonicus, 1068 nucleotides long. RefSeq lists it as uncharacterized. The record is from RefSeq and is a predicted model, not a curated record. The transcript is spliced from 5 exons. NCBI's taxonomy places the organism in Eukaryota, Viridiplantae, Streptophyta, Magnoliopsida, Fabales, Fabaceae.